RNAcentral lists this microRNA precursor (94 nucleotides) under Pan troglodytes (chimpanzee). Its description in RNAcentral is "sense intronic". Lineage: Eukaryota; Metazoa; Chordata; Mammalia; Primates; Hominidae. RNAcentral also lists the same sequence under 2 other names. The record is from RNAcentral.
GCGCGGGGUAGGAAGCAAGACUGAGGGGCCUCAGACCGAGCUUUUGGAAAAUAGAAAAGUCUCGCUCUCUGCCCCUCAGCCUAACUUCCUUUAU